CCACACAAAAUUUCAGUUCUGGCAAUCAGAGACAUUCAUGGACACUUGGAAAGCAAAAGUGAGCACUUUAAGAUGUUGGCUGCAUGAGAGGAGACUGGAUAUUCUAGGGCACCCGUGGAGUAGUCACCUGGAGUCAUAACUGUCAUAGUGUGGAACAAUGCUCUCAGACAGGGAGGAGAGAGUCAGCUUUCGUCCUGUGAGUCUGAGCCAAGAGAGAAUUUUAAUCAUCUCAGAGGAACCCAACCUGAGUAAUUCCUUGACGUCAUUCACGAAAUCUGUCCAUCUCUCAGAGUGACCAGCUUGGGCCUGAGCCACCACACUUUGCUCAUUCUCUGGCAGGCAAAGACAACUCUAAAAAUAUUCUCUAGAAGGGACUUCUGUGGGUUGGAUGUUGGCACCUCUGUUUCUCUGGCGUUUGGAGAAAGAAGCCUCUAGGCAUGUGGCCUGUGAUGGGGAGAGGGAAUCAGUGGAUUGCGUCUAAUUUGAGGGCUUUGCAUACUCUACCCCUCAGCCAGUCUUCUUAACUGGUUUGGCAGAAGAGAAAGCAGCGUAAAGAUAUACAUUUCUACUAUAAACUCUAGAAGGGCAGGGAAAUCAAGAAGCAAGGAUCCCAAACAAGCUCAGGGCUUUGAGCAAUUGAUUGUCUCUGUUAGUGGAGUUAUAGGAUGGGCUGAAAAUUGGAGCGAUUGCAAGACUUUAAAAGGAGUAGAUAGACCCAGGAAUCCUUUCUAUAUCCUCUGAAGUUAGAUGACUAUCCCUCCUGGGUCCCAGAAAAGACUGGAGAGUUACCAUAAUGAAUGGUAAAACUUUCAGCCUCCUUCCUUACUCAUUGGCUUAUACUCCACCCCAACCUCCCUCCCACUGGCCCGUGCAGGAGACUGGAGAACUUCUCUUAGGGACAACAAAAAGUCAAGGGAAAAGACUUAUAGCAAUUCAUAGUUUAGGAUACCCCCAACAAAAUGGCAAGGUUGCUUCCUAUCGGAUCACUCCAUAUUCAGACCCAUUGAUGGGCGACUCUCCCAUCCCCAUCUUCUGAUUAGCAUUUUAUUACUUCCCUCUUAAGUAUAAAUCAACAGUCAAGGAAAAAUGUCAGAAUAGCCUCUAAUAUGAGAAAAACAAAACAAAUAACCUACGUGUAACAGCUUUAGAGAGCUAGGAGGAGAUGUUGCACCCAUUAAAUAAAAACAGGGGGAUGUAAAAAGUAACAUUCAUAGAAUAAAAAAAGUUCUUGGAAAUAAAAAACAUGAUCAAGAAAUUAAAAAACAAUGUAAAAUUGAAAAAAAAACCUCCCAUAAAGUUGAACAACAACAACAACAAAAAACAAACACACCAACAAACGAACUCAGGAAAUCCAAGAGGAGGAAAUUAUCAAAGAAAUAAGGCAAGAAAAUUUCCCUGAAGUGAAGGACAU
RNAcentral lists this long non-coding RNA (1411 nucleotides) under Equus asinus (donkey). RNAcentral describes it as "lncRNA (ENSEASG00005035810.1)". The record is from RNAcentral. Lineage: Eukaryota; Metazoa; Chordata; Mammalia; Perissodactyla; Equidae.